This is a long non-coding RNA of Rhododendron vialii, 2640 nucleotides long. RefSeq lists it as uncharacterized. Lineage: Eukaryota; Viridiplantae; Streptophyta; Magnoliopsida; Ericales; Ericaceae. The transcript is spliced from 4 exons. The record is from RefSeq and is a predicted model, not a curated record.
UGUGCGGCGAUGCCUCCAGUAAGAGGCUCUAUUCCCUUCAGAAGGGACGUAAAGGAUUUGUGGCCCAAUCCCAAUUUGAAACGGCCGGUCAAUCAGGUAGUUCAAUGCAGAAUUGGACUUGCUUAGAAGUUUUACUAUGUUAUCUCUUUUGCUACUUGGGUAAAGUUGGUAUUAUUUUAUUUUUUUCCUUACAGCAAUGUCAUCAUCUUUUGGGUCCUUUCUUUGUGUACUCGAUUGAGCAUGUGUGUUAUAGGCCAAUUAUCACUUCCACCAUAUGAAGUUUCAGAUUGCUCUCUCAUGGAAAUCACCUAGAAAGUUAGCUACAUUUGAUGUGACUUCUGGAAUAUUUUCCUUUUAUAGGUUUUGUUGUUUUGAUGUUGGCUGAAGAUUUAGCUAUCCAUGUUGUGGAUGUAACUCCUCUGAUCCAUUGGUGGAUUCAGAGAUUAUUCUCUUUUUUCGUUUUGUCAAAUGAAAAAUAAGGUUGCGAAUGGCGAAGCAUCUCUAAUCUUAUUGUCUACAAGAAAUGCUAGCAGGAGAGUUGCUUGCUUGAACAAGUGUUAUGAUGUAGUUUACAUUUUUUGUCAUUGUCUUUGUGUAUGUUUGUCUCUCUCCAUCUCACUUUAUGUGUGUGUGUGUAGAUGUAAUUGGUGACAUCUCUCCAAAGCCCUGUUAUAGUUACAGAUCUAAUUGGUCAUGUCUUUGAUUGUCUUAACUGAUUAGUUGCUCAGAAAUUGGGGACGGAAGAUGAGGAUAAAGAAUCAGUCUCAGUUUUUUUGGGUUUUGAGGGUAUUAACACUAUAGAUCAUGCCGCUUGAUGAAGAGAGUUCUUGAUGUAAAGGCUCCACAGCCUGGGGCUUGAUAGAGUUGCUUCACUGAGUUUCACUCAGUUUUGGUUGCAUCACUUGGCUUUUCGAGUUUUGAACCUCUGUAUUUUUUUUUGGUUAUGCUCAAUGCCUACCUAGCUACCAAAUUUCUUCAUUUGUAUCGUGUUUGUUGUGGGAAUGUCUCAUUGGAUUUCCUUCUUCUCUAUGGGUCAAGUUUUGUGCGUGGUGGUGUUUAUGGGGUUGUAUUCUUGGUGAAUUUUAUUUUGAUUUUCAAAUUUUCUUUUCAGGAACUAAUUAGCGAAUUGUGUGACUCGAAUCACUCAAGAUUUCAGGAACUAAUUUGCGAAUGGUGUGACCAGAAAUCACUCUAGGUAAGUUCUAUCAUAUUAGUUUCUCAAGUUUUGUGUGUUAAAUUUUUAUUGUUACUCUGGCUUUGUUUGUGUUAACUAUCAUCAUUCACAAUGUGCACUUUUCCGCUAAGUCAUGCGCAAGUCUGUUUCUAUGAUUGGUUGAUGAUAAUUGAUAUCAACAAAGGUAAAAAAAAAAUUGAGAAAAUGUUUAAUGUUAAACAUAAUCUUUAGUUUUUGAAAUUGACAGUCCCCGCUUAGUAUAGUUUUGUCAAACUCCUCUUUGUUUGCUUGAAUUUUUAUACAAUUUGAUAACCUACUGUAGACAGGGAUGCACACUAAUGGAUGUCGGCAAUCCUUCCCAAAUCGACGAGCCCAACGGCAUGGGUUUUGAAAGUUGGGACGAGGGUUCGAGUUGGGGUUUGUGUUGAAGUCCAAUUGAAGAGUUUUGUAUCUGAAGGUAUAUGGGUGAUGAAGUUCUGAAGGUGUGGCUGUGUACUUUAAAAUUUUAUAUUGCAUUCAAGGUGUUUGUAAGAUUGCCCAUACGAGAAGUUUGAUUUCCAGUGAGAGUUUAUCACAAUCCUUCUUGGUUUUGAUGCCUAUAGCUAGCCUUACCCCAAUUAGUUGAGGCACAUAGCCAUUAGUUAGAAACCAAUUUCUUACAUAAUAUUUAGUUUUGUACUACUUUUAGCUACAACCAUGAUAUGGAAGGUUAUAAGAUCUUUGAUGGAUGUCUAAGACCAAAUAUAAUUUGUUUUUAGUUCACAGUUACUUCGCCCAUAUGUUUUGAUCAUAACUCCUCCGAGAUAUGUGUUCAAGACUUUUUUUCGUUCCCAGUUACUUCGCCCAUAUGUUCAGAUCAUAACUCCUUCGAGAUUAAUCUGGUUGUGGGUGUGUUGUUAAUUAUGGCUUGUAGGCUUCUUCAGAGGUAACAACCGUGGAGAAAAGAAGGUGGACUCUCAAUGACUGACAUCGAAAAGUCUCUCGGAAGGUGGACUCUCAAGGACUUUGGCAAGGGAAAAGAGGGUCCGUGAUCUUGACUUCUUCUAUUUUAUGUGUUAGAUAUGCAAAGUUUCAAGGUUGGGCCUUUUUCUCAUUUGAAUAUGUGUUGCUUUGUCAUGUAUCGGUUGGUACAUGUUGCUUAUCUCUUGAAAUUAAUUUUCCCAAAAAAAAUUGUUUGCUUGCUCCUUAGAAAUCCUAACGAAAAUUGUGAUAUUUGAACUCUCUUACUAUUUAAGGUGUUCAACGUGACCGUGCAAUUGUAUUUGUGUUAAUUUUCAACUGAUGGGCAAAUUAAUCUAUUUCAUUCUGGACAGAGCAAUCACUAAGGUGCUUUCUAAGAGCCAAGGGGUUUCUAGGGAGUCAUAUUGGAUGAAUGUAGGAAAGCCACAACAAUAUCAUAUUGUCGGUUCUAAAGUAUCUAUUUCGAUCAUCUCUGGCGAUGGGACCGGUUUUUUUCUUGAUGUUCA